UCCAGCCUACUCUCCUACAAGUCCCUCUUAUUCUCCAACCUCACCAAGCUAUAGCCCUACCUCUCCAAGCUACAGCCCUACGUCUCCAAGUUACAGUCCUACUUCACCAAGUUAUAGUCCCACAUCUCCCAGCUAUAGUCCAACUUCACCAAGCUACAGCCCUACUUCACCGGCAUAUAGCCCAACUUCACCUGCAUACAGCCCCACUUCUCCAUCAUACAGCCCAACAUCGCCAUCAUACAGUCCGACAUCUCCUUCUUACAGCCCAACCUCACCCUCCUAUAGCCCUACAUCUCCAUCAUACAGCCCUACGUCCCCAGCAUAUAGCCCCACUUCUCCCGGGUACAGUCCGACCUCACCAAGUUAUGGUCCCACGUCACCUAGCUAUAGCCCUACCUCUCCAAGUUACAAUCCGCAAUCAGCCAAGUACAGUCCAUCUCUAGCAUACUCACCAAGCAGUCCAAGGUUGUCU
This 472-nucleotide long non-coding RNA is filed under the name Gossypium barbadense (sea-island cotton). RNAcentral's name for it is "long non-coding RNA (GBAR_LNC001836)". Lineage: Eukaryota; Viridiplantae; Streptophyta; Magnoliopsida; Malvales; Malvaceae. The record is from RNAcentral.